This 253-nucleotide ribosomal RNA is filed under the name uncultured bacterium. Its description in RNAcentral is "partial 16S ribosomal RNA". It matches the Rfam family "Bacterial small subunit ribosomal RNA", at positions 524 to 776 of the family's 1533-position model. The record is from RNAcentral.
UACGAAGGGGGCUAGCGUUGCUCGGAAUGACUGGGCGUAAAGGGCGCGUAGGCGGUUUGGACAGUCAGAUGUGAAAUUCCUGGGCUCAACCUGGGGGCUGCAUUUGAUACGUUCGGACUAGAGUGGGGAAGAGGGUCGUGGAAUUCCCAGUGUAGAGGUGAAAUUCGUAGAUAUUGGGAAGAACACCGGUGGCGAAGGCGGCGCUCUGGACCGAGACUGACGCUGAGGCGCGAAAGCGUGGGGAGCAAACAGG